Vigna angularis (adzuki bean) is the source of this 2049-nucleotide RNA transcript. It is a transcript of the gene named serine/threonine-protein kinase STY46, with no coding region annotated. The record is from RefSeq and is a predicted model, not a curated record. The transcript is spliced from 14 exons. NCBI's taxonomy places the organism in Eukaryota, Viridiplantae, Streptophyta, Magnoliopsida, Fabales, Fabaceae.
GAUUUGGGUUAGUCAAGCUAACGGUGCGCAUUACUCCCCUCGUUAAUGAUGUUAUUUAAAACUCACUUCCAUUAAUUUCUCGACAGGAGUGUCAGAGCAAUUUUUGUUUCAUGCAGAGGUCUUUUGAUGUCCUUCCAACUUCUUUGUUCUUGAUAUUGUUCUUGUUCGUCUCAUAUUACGAUCUUACGAUAUUAUGGAUCACUGAUCUUUGCUUGCUGACUCGGAUUCAGUAAACAUGGGAGACACAGAGAGUUGCAAUAGCGGAAUUUUGAACUCUGGAUGGAAUCAUCGAUGUCCGAAACAGAGACAGAAGGUCGGAGUUUACAACGAGGUUUUGUGUAGGCUUAAGGAAUUGAAUGUCCCAGAAGCUGUGGUUCCUGGUUUUGAGGACGAUCUUUGGGCGCACUUCUAUCGCCUUCCCGCAAGGUAUGCGUUGGACAUGAAUGUGGAGAGGGCAGAAGAAGUUCUUAUGCACAAGAGGUUACUGGACAUCGCCGGAGGCCCAACUACAGCAAUCGGACCUGCAAUUGAAGUCCGUCUUGUACAGGUUCGUUCUGCUUCUGCUUCUACCGGUGGUUCUAGUAAAUCCCUUCUUUUAAAUUCACAAAGUAAAGUUUGUUCUGAAGAUUCUGGUAUUCCAGGCAGCAUGAGCUUCCAUCCUCCACCUGCCUUCGGUUCGUCAUCUAAUGUGGAACAUAACACCCAGUUCUUACCAGUCCGAGACAGGGAUAACUAUUUGAAUUUUUAUACACAUUAUGCUCGGCCAAUGCAUGAAAUCACAAUUUCAACAAAUGACAAGCCAAAACUUCUGAGUCAGCUGACUUCCUUACUUUCUGAGACUGGGUUGGACAUUCUAGAAGCACAUGCUUUUUCGACAACAGACGGCUAUUCGUUGGAUGUUUUUGUUGUUGGUGGUUGGCCAAUAGAGGAGACGAAGAAAUUAAAACAUGAACUAGCAAAGAAAAUUCAGAAACUCCAGCAACAUCAAUUGAAAGAAAAUGGGAGUCUUCCUACUAGUACUACUGCAAAGCAAGAGCAAACCGAGAUGAACUUUAUCUGGAGAAUUGAUGCCGGGCGUCUGAGAUAUGAAAAGAAAAUUGCAUCUGGACCUUUGACUGAUUUGUAUAAAGGUACAUUCUGCAAUCAAGAUGUAGCUAUCAAGGUUUUAAAGCACGAGAAUUUGAAUGAAAAUAUACAAAGGGAGUUUGCUCAGGAAGUGUAUAUCCUAAGUAAAAUUCAGCACAAAAAUGUAGUUAAAUUUGUUGGCGCUUGUACAAAACCCCCAAACCUGUACCUGGUCACAGAAUACAUGCCUGGUGGAAGUAUGUUCGACUUUUUGCAUAAACAGAAGACCGCCCUUGCUCUUCCAUGUUUACUCAAAGUGGCCAUUGAUGUUUCCGAAGGAAUGAAAUAUUUGCAUCAGAAUAAUAUCAUACAUCGUGACCUUAAAGCGGCUAAUCUUUUGAUAGAUGAGAAUGGGGUAGUUAAGGUUGCUGAUUUUGGUGUGGCUAGAGUGCACAAUCAGUCUGGCAUAAUGACUGCAGAAACAGGAACUUAUCGGUGGAUGGCUCCAGAGGCAUGGAUGGGGCUGUUUAAGGACACGAUAGGCAGCAGUUUUUGAUGUAAUAAGAUGAAUCUAGACAGGUUGGAAUGAGAAUGAUGAUUUUUUUUUUUUUUUUCUGAUAAACAAUACUUAAUGCUAACAUGGUUUCAGUACUGCUUUUGGUUGCCCAUGCGCUUUGCAAAAGAAAAAUGUAACAAUAUCCAAUAAAAUACAAUGGUAGGCACUCUGGUUUUUUUCAUGGAGGCUUUAGUUGCUUAUGUAAAACAACUAAAAAAACUGAUAUUUCUUGUAUUCUACUGCUUACUGUAUUGAUUAUUAUUAAACUUGUGAUUCCCUUGACAUAUGGAAGGUUAUUGAACAUAGACCAUAUGAUCACAAAGCCGAUGUCUUUAGCUUUGCCAUUGUGCUUUGGGAACUGCUCACAGGAAAGCUUCCUUAUGAGCAUUUGUCCCCAUUGCAAGCAGCAGUAGGAGUGAUCCAGAAGG